CCUACGGGUGGCAGCAGUGGGGAAUAUUGCACAAUGGGGGAAACCCUGAUGCAGCGACGCAGCGUGAGGGAAGACGCGCCUCGGCGCGUAAAGCUCUGUCAGCAGGGACGAUAAUGACGGUACCUGUAGAUGAAGGCACGGCUAACUACGUUCCAGCAGCCGCGGUAAUACGUAGGGGGCAAGCGUUAUCCGGAUUGACUGGGUGUAAAGGGAGCGUAGACGGGGGGGCAGGACUGUAGUGAAAGGCCGGGGCCCAACCCUGGAACCGCGCUGGAGACUGCCAGGCUGGAGUGCGGUAGAGGUAGGCGGAAUGCCUGGUGUAGCGGUGAAAUGCGUAGAUAUGAGGAGGAACACCAGCGGCGAAGGCGGCUUACUGGACCGUGACUGACGUUGAGGCUCGAAAGCGUGGGGAGCAAACAGGAUUAGAUACCCCAGUAGUC
This 440-nucleotide ribosomal RNA is filed under the name uncultured bacterium. RNAcentral describes it as "partial 16S ribosomal RNA". It matches the Rfam family "Bacterial small subunit ribosomal RNA", at positions 338 to 795 of the family's 1533-position model. The record is from RNAcentral.